GUUGUAUCUCCAGAGGAACAGUUAUAGUGGUGAGUUGUAUCUCCAGACAGAGGGACAGUUAUAGUGGUGAGUUGUAUCUCCAGACAUAGGAACAGUUAUAGUGGUGAGUUGUAUCUCCAGAGGAACAGUUCUAGUGGUGAGUUGUAUCGCCAGAGGAACAGUUAUAGUGGUGAGUUGUAUCGCCAGAGGAACAGUUAUAGUGGUGAGUUGUAUCCCCAGACAGAGGGACAGUUAUAGUGGUGAGUUGUAUCUCCAGAGGAACAGUUAUAGUGGUGAGUUGUAUCUCCAGACAGAGAAACAGUUAUAGUGGUGAGUUGUAUCUCCAGACAGAGAAACAGUUAUAGUGGUGAGUUGUAUCUCCAGAGGAACAGUUGUAGUGGUGAGUUGUAUCUCCAGACAGAGAAACAGUUAUAGUGGUGAGUUGUAUCUCCAGACAUAGGAACAGUUAUAGUGGUGAGUUGUAUCUCCAGACAUAGGAACAUCAUAGUGGUGAGUUGUAUCUCCAGAGGAAC
Molecule: long non-coding RNA, 512 nt
Organism: Oncorhynchus tshawytscha (Chinook salmon)
Lineage: Eukaryota; Metazoa; Chordata; Actinopteri; Salmoniformes; Salmonidae
Source: Ensembl